AUCAACGCUGGCGGCGUGCCUCAGACAUGCAAGUCGAACGAUUAAACUUUCCUUCGGGAGAGAUAUAAAGUGGCGCACGGGUGAGUAACACGUAGGUAAUCUACCUUUGAGUGGGGAAUAACAAUCGGAAACGAUUGCUAAUACCGCAUAAUGCAGCGGCAUCAUAAGAUGACAGUUGUUAAAGCGAGCAAUCGCGCUUAAAGAGGAGCCUGCGGCAGAUUAGCUAGUUGGUAAGGUAAUGGCUUACCAAGGCUACGAUCUGUAACCGACCUGAGAGGGUGGUCGGUCACACUGACACUGAAUAACGGGUCAGACUCCUACGGGAGGCAGCAGUCGGGAAUUUU
RNAcentral lists this ribosomal RNA (344 nucleotides) under uncultured bacterium. RNAcentral's name for it is "bacterial SSU rRNA". It matches the Rfam family "Bacterial small subunit ribosomal RNA", at positions 32 to 365 of the family's 1533-position model. The record is from RNAcentral.